GUAUUUAAAUUGCGUUAAAGCAACAUAUCACAUUCUAAGACAUGCAAAGUGUAUAUGAAAGACAUGAGAAUCGUCCCGAGAGACGUCCCACAUUGAGUUCACAGGUGUAAGUGGAUUAAGAGCUCGGGCGUGCACAUGCCCCGAGGGGCCAGCGACAACCUUUGCUUAUAAUUCGAUAAUGAUCCUUCCGCAGGUUCACCUACGGAAA
This 208-nucleotide unclassified non-coding RNA is filed under the name uncultured fungus. Its description in RNAcentral is "sequence contains ITS1". The record is from RNAcentral. Lineage: Eukaryota; Fungi.